AUGAAGAGCAUGAAGGUCAACAACAAAUAUGAAAGCUUGGGACAAAAGGGUAACCUAAUUCAUAGCCAAGUUAUUAAGAUCAAGCAAGAAUCAGAGAAAAUUUAUGAUUGGCCAUUUGUUCAACCUGAAAUAAGACCUGUUCUAAGAGAGAUUUCCAGGCAGGUUUCGCGGUCACCGUUGGGAAUUUCCGGCCAACCCAUUUCAGUUAGUGAUUCAUAG
Molecule: non-coding RNA, 219 nt
Organism: Vicia faba (fava bean)
Lineage: Eukaryota; Viridiplantae; Streptophyta; Magnoliopsida; Fabales; Fabaceae
Source: the annotation of a GenBank genome assembly